Molecule: ribosomal RNA, 417 nt
Filed under: Triticum aestivum (bread wheat)
Lineage: Eukaryota; Viridiplantae; Streptophyta; Magnoliopsida; Poales; Poaceae
Description: partial small subunit ribosomal RNA
Source: RNAcentral
AUGGGAGUCCUUGCUGUGUUAUGGCUCGACCGUGCAGCCCUGCGUCCUCGAGCAGGAGCAACUGAUUCCCAAGCUGCCGGUGCUUUGUUCGACAAGGAGCAUGUCGCCGUCACCUUGGGUGCAGCCGUCCGGUGGAAGGCGCUCUGCCUUUUUCAGAAGGCGAGGAGGAUCGGCGGAUCCAGCCCCCCUCCUCUCCAGCAGCUCGGCGGAGACAAAAGAGGAGGUCACCGGGAGAUGACGAAAGAUCAAAGGAGGAUGAUUUGCAAGGUCGAUCGACAUAUGCGACAAAGAUCCUGUUGUGCACAAGCAUACUCCAUACAUUGUUAUCCUCGUGAGGCUUGCAGGAAAAAUGGGUCGAUGCACGUGAUGGUCAGUGACCUUCGGCCAGGCAAGAGAAAAGGGAAUUUAAGGACCUAA